This 588-nucleotide ribosomal RNA is filed under the name uncultured bacterium. Its description in RNAcentral is "bacterial SSU rRNA". It matches the Rfam family "Bacterial small subunit ribosomal RNA", at positions 338 to 916 of the family's 1533-position model. The record is from RNAcentral.
CCUACGGGAGGCAGCAGUGGGGAAUAUUGCGCAAUGGGGGAAACCCUGACGCAGCAACGCCGCGUGAGUGAGGAAGGACUUCGGUCUGUAAAGCUCUGUUAAUGAGGAAAAAUGGUAGUUGGUCCAAUAGGCCGAUUAUUUGAUGGUACUCAUAGAGGAAGCACCGGCUAACUUCGUGCCAGCAGCCGCGGUAAUACGAAGGGUGCAGGCGUUGUUCGGAUUUAUUGGGCGUAAAGCGCGCGUAGGCGGACCUGCAAGUCAGAUGUGAAAUCUCGAGGCUCAACCUCGAAACUGCGUCUGAAACUACAGGUCUAGAAUCUCGGAGGGGGAAGGGAAUUUCGCAUGUAGGGGUAAAAUCCGUAGAUAUGCGAAGGAACACCAGAGGCGAAGGCGCCUUCCUGGACGAGUAUUGACGCUGAGGCGCGAAAGCGUGGGGAUCAAACAGGAUUAGAUACCCUGGUAGUCCACGCUGUAAACGAUGAACACUAGGUAUUGGAGGAUUUGACCCCUUCAGUGCCGUAGCUAACGCGUUAAGUGUUCCGCCUGGGAAGUACGGUCGCAAGACUAAAACUCAAAUGAAAUUGACGG